GUUGGAUACAGUGAUAUAUACUUCCAAGUAAAAUCAGGAGUAAGACAAGGGUGUGUCAUGUCAUCGACACUCUUCAUUAUAGUCAUUGACUGGAUAAUGAGACAAACAACAGCUAAUACACCAAGAGGCAUAAGAUGGGGCACUUUUACCACUUUGGAAGACCUAGAUUUUGCUGAUGACUUAGCAUUAAUGUCUCACACACACCAACAUAUUCAAGAUAAG
This 222-nucleotide long non-coding RNA is filed under the name Mytilus galloprovincialis (Mediterranean mussel). The record is from RNAcentral. Lineage: Eukaryota; Metazoa; Mollusca; Bivalvia; Mytilida; Mytilidae.